CAGAACUACUUCCCAAGAGGGCACUCUGUGUCUAAAAUCAAGGCUUGCCCUUUUUACUUUGUGCUGCUGCAUGAAUUCUUAUAGCUAUCCCGGCAAAAUCCAAUUUUCAGCUAAUACCAGAAUGUCUGGUCUGGUCUAACACGAGUCAUUUACUUAGAUCAGUAUAACUAAAAUCUGCACAGACAAGCUCACAGAAGUCUAUUUAUACACUCAGUUUAGAAAUUUUCCUUUUUGUUUUAACAAAACAGAAUUUCCUUUUACAAGUGAGCUGAGAGUCUGCCAAGCAACUGCCAGGUGUCUAAUCCUUUGUGUCUUCUGGAGCCAAUGCCAUUUACCUGUGCUUUGGGGAUCUACUGGAAAGUGGGACAAGAAUUAACUGCAUCUCACAGGCUCCCAGAAGGUCUCUUGUUCUAUGUAGAAAGAAAGCACUGAUGGUCUUGAGCUCUGGUUUCAUUCAGACUUGUAUGACCAACAUUACUCUAGUCCUGAGUCACGUAGUUAUAAAAAGAAGUAGUAACACUUUAAACUAACACAUUUCAUUUAUUUGUAUAUUUUAUAAUUUCAAGCUCUUCAUAACCACAGAGAACAUUUGUUGUUCACUUCUAUGGUACAUUUUUCAUGGAUUGCUGUUAUAGAAAGAUAUCUAUCCAUAAGACUCAGUCUCACUUUUAAUCCUUGUUUCACUACCAUGAAAUUAAAAGCUACAUUUAACACAAUUCAUCUUCCAAAUUGCAGCAUAAAACUGCCUUAGGACAGUGGCUGAUUGAAGAAAGCACCCCCAUUUGGCCCCAUUUCUAGGCUUGCUCUCAGCAGAGACCCAGGAGAUGUCUGGGAAUAGCUAUCCCAGCUAUGGGUUCUGCUUCCACUGGUGUCCCACAACUGUUGUCAUCCCUGAGACAUGAACUAGGAACAAGGAUUCUGAUCCUCCCCACCAGGUAACCAACAGAGCAUGUGAUUGAAAGAUUAAGCAAUGUGCUUUGUUAUACAAAUCUAGGGAACUACUAACAGUCAAUUGGUAAGGUGUCACGUUAUUCUAAAAUCUGCCUAUUUAGAUUCAGCAGUAUAUUUUUCCAUCAUUAUCUCUCUUCAGUCAGCACACUGCUCAUAUAUUAUAUAUGCCUCUCUGUUUUUUUUUAGACAGAUCAGCAAUGUGAUUUUGAGGUAAAUCUCCUGAUCAUCUUUACUUGCUGCUAUUUGAUUCACAGCCAGAGCAGCCUCAGAGUACAGGAAUCUGGAUUCCUACUCAAUGAAAUAGUAUGGGGAGAUGUACUCUCGGAGCAUACCUGAUUCAUUUGAUAGUACAAGAUCAGAGCUCCUCCAAAGCCAACCCUCUGAAAUGCAAAUAGUGUGGAUAUUGCAUCCUCAGUACCAACAGCUUAGUCAUGCAGAUCUGUUCCUCCUUGCUUAUGUACCAGUAGGGUGAGAAAGCCAUGCACACAGCAGCCCUGAUUUCACUAUAUGAGUGGAUCAGGAGAUGUUAUAAAUACGUGUGGGACAACUAAAGUCAUUAGGUCAGAAAACAACAGGGAUAUCAAUAAUUUUAUUUGCAAAGUGACGGAGCAAAUAUCUACAGUUCUCUGCAGUGACCUCAUACUUCCCAGGCUAUUAUUCCACAGUUUCAAGACUAGAAUAGUAGCUAAAUCCAGCCAUCCUCUGCGAGACUGCCUUUGUGUCUGGACUUCAGUAGCACAGAUUUAGUCAAUAGCUGUGGGAUCAAAUCGAGUUCUCUAUGGCAUAAAAGAGACGGAAAUUUUGUUCUGAAACGAACCUUCACAUGUUUCAUUAUUGGGCUGUAAUUCAGAGCAUAGGCUUUGAUACUGUCAGAUCAGUUAAGGGGAAGAAAAUCUUUCUCUGAGACUUUACACUUUUUUGUUUUACUUCUACAAUUAAUUUGUGACAGGAACACUGGACGGGUCUCCCUACCUUCAGCAAAAGAAGGAAAAAAUAUUGGUAGCCCUUGGUGCAGACAAAGCAAUAAGCCAGCCCUCCUUCAACAGCAGCAGAAAAUAUCAUCAUACUCUUUCAUAUCCUGAUAUCUUUCAAGCCCCUGUGGGCAAGUUGAAGUUCAUGGGAGGCACCAGCAAUAGAUAAGAACUCAUAAAAUUAAUUGCAGCAGUUAAGGAGACUUUUUGCUUGAUCACAGAUGUAUACAGAAAUGGAUUUCAGAGAGCAAAGCAAGAAGGAGGCAAUGAGAGAUUCCAUGAUUUAUUGGAGAUGAGCUGGCUGUGAGAAUGAGUCAAGAGUCAGGCAAAAUGAAAGGGGUCAAGUAUGAGAACAGACAUAUUCUGUAAUGUUUAGAAGCAGCCACAAACUUCGGAAAAUGACACAGCAUUAUUGCAAAGCUACCCAUAGAUCAGAUUUGUGACUGUCUUCCUGACUUCCAGAUCAAUAGCCAACGAUGGAUGUCAGGCAUUAGAUUCAGUUAUCUGCAAAUCAAAAUGCUCCUCUCUGCAGAGAACGAAGUAAUGAAUGAAGCAGGACUAAGGUGUGCCUGUCUGCCAAGAUCCACAUUUGUCUAUGGAGAGAGUGUUACUCAGUCAGUAAAAGGCCAUAGGGGGAUUGUUACUUGCCUAUGUGAAGACCUGUGUACCUCUAUCUUUUAUAAAGAAAUGUGUUUACGUGUAAUGUUUCCUGUUUGACAGCAGCAUUCAGUUCAGUCAGAUUAAGCUUGUUGGCAUCUGUUUCAAAGUUUAUCUGGGACAGGCAGAAAAGCAAAGUAAAAAAACUGGAAGUUUUGAAAGUUUGACUUUGGACAUUUCCCAUUAGCUGAUGAGAUAAUCUGUUAUCAUCUAGAAACACGUCAGCUAUCCAUAAUGGUGAGGGUAUUCCAAUAUGAUCCAGCCACACAGAGUUCAUCUACGUAUAUGUUUGUGUGCAUGUAAGUAUUUACAUAUAUGAGGACAUUUUACCUAUAUCCUCCAAGACUUUGUAACAGCUGGUUUGCUUAGCAAUUAGUUUGAAACAUUACCAAGAGCAAGAGCUAUUGGAAUGUUUUUGAAUAGCAAUUUGGUUUCAUGUCAUGUUUAUCAAGGGCUUUGAAAUCUAGCCCAAAUUUCACUGGACAGUUUGUCAUAUCCUGGAUGUCCCGGCUGCUUUCCAGUCUGCUGUUAGCUACAGAAGGAACCUUGCUCACCAAAUGAGAUCAGCCCGUCAAGCUGCAGCUAGUUACUACCCAGGUCUCCAGAAGAGAUGGUUAGCAAGUUCUCUUUGAAAUUAUUUCUUUACACCAAGACCAUAAUGCAGGUAUUCAUAUUAAUUUGUUAUCUUUGACACUCAGUGGAAAAUAAAAUAAGUGGUGGUGCUUGAUUUGAACAGAUAUCACAUGAGCAAUAAGAAAUGAAGAAAAGAAUCACAGGUAAACCUCAAGUGGUAUAUACCCACCUAUCCAGGUAUAUAAGGUCAUGCAGGGAACACAAAGCACGUGAGAACAUUUGUUAUCUUUUAUUUUGCUGCAGACAGGUCUUCAAAACUGCCUUGAAAGUCUUUACUUCAACCUAUUGCUGGAAACUGGUUCCUGAAACCCUCUUUUACAGGACCAGCAGAGCAGUGAAUGGCUUGUGAGCCUUCUGGAAUCUUAGCCCAUUGAGUGAAAUCCCAUACCAGACAGGGACCACAGUGCUCACAUGACCAACAUCCAUAAUUCACGUGUAAGCUGAACUCAUGGGACUACGAUUCUAUGAUUCUGUGACUAUUGAAGGUAGGAAAACAAGGCAAUUGAAAAGACGGAAUACAGGACAGCGAGAUCUUAACAAGAUGGUAGAACUGCAUUAUUCACCCAACUCAGCAGCAGGCUGACAGGAAGGACAGGAGCAGCCCUACAGCACUGCACAGUGAAUAUAUUAGCCAGGAGAAAAGUUCUUACUAUUGAAACACUCAGGAAAAAUUACCUUUGCUGACAGAGGGGAAAAAAAAACCUGCCAAAAACAUCAUCUCAGCAGGGAACACAGAGUAACAGGCAGGAGUUGAUAAGUAAACAGACGUGCAGCCUGCAGUAUCAAAACAAGGUGGCAUUCUGCUCAUUUUGAUGCUUGCCCACUGCCAGCUGUGAAAUCUUCACACUGCUGCUUUUAUGCUCCACAGUGUGGCGUGAAGUCUUUGCAAAGCUCAUAUUCCCUGCACUUGUGAUUCACCAUGCAGCCUCCCAUGCAGGGCCCCAACUUUCAGCAGUCAUCAUUUGCUGACAAUUUUCCUCUACCUUGUGCCACAAGAGGACUCCAAUCUCCAUAAGCUCCCAGGAGCUGCUGAUGCUUUCUCUAACUUCCCCGGAGACCCAUUCUAGCAAACCUGCAAUUAGGAACCAGGUUUACCAGUAGGUCUGUUUUUCAAAAUGUAAAAUGAGCAAACAUGCUUAGCUCUUAUUUUUGGGCUCUGAACAGAUGCAAUCUGUGAUCUGUGAAUGAGGAACUCCUGCUCUAUCCAGCUAUGGCAUCAAAUAUUUUUGCUAAGGAACUUAGCACUGGAAAAUGCACAUGGGUAAAGAGCAGUCUUUUUUGUAUCAUUAAUCAUAUGCAGCUGUGAUUAAGUUUAUGCCUGAAGAUAAAGAUUCACGUUUGAUUUCUUUUUUUGUAAUACAUUUGUUUUAAAGCUUCCUGCUUCUUGUCUAUCUAUAUGUCAUGGGUUUAAGGCAAGUAUCUUGUGAUGCUAACAGCCAUUCAUUGAUGUCUGAUUUAUGUGGUUAUGGCUGUGGAGAUGUUGUACUAAUUACAAUGAUAUGAAUACAAUUGCUCUCUCAAUUUCCAUUUUAAUGGAGGCUAAUAAAUAUAUCAGAUGGCUCUUAUGGUAUGUAAUAACCUUUCUAAUCACAAGCACGAGCUUGUAGAACUGUUGAAGAUAUGUUGUGAGAUACAGGAAAGCAUAAAAUGUGAAUCUUGUGGACAUUACAAAAUGGGUAUUUGCAUUUCACAUUGGUGGGAUCCCAUGACUUUCGGAGGAACAGCUCAGCAGUUGGUCAAAGGUGAAGGACUUGAAGAGGAAAGAGUUGCAGUCAUUCCCUAGAGUAAAUGGCAGGCUCUCAACCUGAGUGCACCAAGCAAGGUCUGUUGCUUCAGCACACCUCUUUGUUUCCCUUUAUUGCCAUGUUUAAACAGCUCUGAUACAGCAUUGUCACACAUCUCUCAGGACUGUUAUAAAAAUACAUUUGAUGUGAUUUUUGUGUGCCCCAACUGUUAAGCUCUCUGGGUUUUGUAAUUGGACUGGAGUAACACAAGUGAAUCACUCUGAUUUCACUCACCCAGCACUACAAUUACAGCGUAUUGUGCUUUGCUGGUUUUGUUACCCUUGCUUAUGAUAGAGUUCACAUUACUUUACAAGCUCUCUUAGGACAGUUUUAUUGCUGUGGUGAAAAAUGUAAGUGUUGUGAACGCUGGAAAAUGUCUUAAGGAAUUACUACAGCUGCAGACCCUCUAAAAGGAGAUUUGGUUCUUUGCAAAGUAGAAAUGAAGCCAAAAAGGACCUCAACCAUAACUUCUGGGUGCAGCCACCAGAGAGCUUUUGUCAAAGGGUAUUUUCAUAUCUGGGGACAUUGAUGAAGGACAUUUAAGCAAAGGAGCUCAGGUGUUGCCAGCACAGAGGCUGGUGCACAUAGCAAACCCCAGCCCGAACACCAGGUAAAUGCCUGCACAGUUGGGCUGUGAGCUCAGUAACCCACAGCUGCUCCGUGGGGGUCUUCUGGGCAGCUCAGGUUUGUCUGCAUGAGCAGCACAAGCAAAGCAAUCAUAACUAGCACAGAUCGAGCAGAUGUCUUGCCUUCUGAAUAGCUGUUACCCAAAUAGGCACUAGAGGGCUGUGGAAAAUAGCAUUUAAAUAUAGUAGUGCUCGCAUUGUUUGUUUUCCACACUUUCCUAUGUGGGGUUUAUAAAGGAGAGUAUGAGUCCAGGUCUUGUCUGUGGCAGUCAUCCAAAGGGAAGUGAUGGAUGCAACUCUUCUUGUUCAACGCAGAGUCUGAGGAUCCAUCUGGUGCAAGGUCAGAAAGCACAGCAAAUCCAAUUUCAGGGCUCCCUGGACCACAUCAGAAAUGCCAUGACCAUGUGAUGCAAAGCAUCAGUCUGAUGCAAAUUUACUCUGAUGGUUCCAUUUUAUGUGAAAGAUAUUAACAGUUUCACUAGUGAGUAUUUUGCUUUGAUUAUUCACACCAUUAAUGACACAUGCACUGUCCCAGAGCACAGACAUUGUGUGUCCCUUCUCAGGCCCUCUACCUGUUUUGACAGGAGCGCUUCUGCAUGCUCAGUCUUAUCAGAUGAGUUCUGCACAGUACUUUGGCAGUGGAAUGGUGAAAUAAUCACGGAAUGACUGUCUGAGAAGCUUUAGCCAAACGCUUCCUCUGGCACUGCUGGAUCGUGCCCUGUUAUGCAGUAUAGAAAUACCCUGCAAUCCUGGUGAGGAUUAAGUCAAAAUCCUCACCAACCUAAAGGCAGCUGGAAUCGUCACAGAGCUCUACACCUUGCAGAUCAUGGCAGAAAUCUCUACGAAUGCAUGUGAAUGUAAUAAUUACCUACCUAUGCAAGUGAUUCUGGGGCUUAUCUAUUGGGAAGAAAAAGGCCGUGGGAGCUCUUGGAUAGUAGAGAUUGUGGUAAUGUUAUCGAUUUGUUACUCUUUGUGAGACUUAGCCGUGUGCUGCUGUUUUUCUCUCUUAUCCACCAUCUAGAAAAGUGCUGUCAGAGCCCAGGGGCUGAGACCCUGCGUGAAGUGCUGGGUGCUUUGCUGUGGGUGGGAAUUUGGCCCAGAGGGUGAGGGUGCUUGCUAUCCACCUGCAGUGUCUGACGUGGGCGUGUUUUGCAGGGCACUGGGCUAUUCCAAGUUUGCCUAAGCACUGACGGCAGCUUUAGCAUACUUGAUCUGUUUAUGGUCUAGUUUAUGAUCUGUUUAUAGUCUUAUCUUGUACUAGAUCUUCAAGGCAAGAGGACAGACAGAUACUGCUCCCACAUCUUGAUCUAUUCCCAGCUAGGCAUGGUGCACGUUGCUCUGCAUCCUGCUGGCUCAGUAAAUUACUGCCUUUACUGAAUAACAUCAGGUACAUGGGCAUGAGUGGCGUGGGAUAAACCCUCAUAGUCUGACAGCAAUUAACUGGAGGCUGUGGAUGAGAGAAACUUCCCUCAUUCAAGCUGAGAUUAUUGUUUUGGAGGAAUUUUAAUUUUCUUAAAUCUGUGAGUGAGUGGCUGCUCUUUAGAGUGGAAGCUGCCUUGCUGCACAGCAUGAGGAGCCCCAUGGAUCUGGGCCUUGGCUUUGAGGAUGUGUGCUAGAGGGAAAAAGGAUCUGCCUUUUCCUGCUAAGGGUGGGGAAGCGGGGCACUUCAGGCAUCUGGUUCAGCACUUCUGGUUUCAGAAGCGUGAGCCUGAGCUUUACAUCACACUUUGCUGUAGAUGGGUGACUCAGGCUUGGGGAUGAAAGUCAGACACAUAUAUUGGUCACGUUAUCCCUUCAUGUGAUUUUGGCUUCAGAAAGUUGAGUGUCUUUUAACUCUGCCACUACCAAGGUUCCAGGUGAAUGCUUGGCUUCAUCUUCUUCACGGCGGUGGAGGAGGUGCGAAGUUCCACUUCAGCUCCCGCCCUCGUCCAGCACCGACCCGUGGGUUUUGCGGGGAGCAGGAGAGGCAGCGGCAGUCAAAGGCGUGGGGUCGCGCCACACUGCGAUCACCGUGUUGCACCGGAUCCCCUGUCAAGUCCUACCUCCCUCGGGGGGCUGAGACCAGCGCCGACAGGGCCGUCAUCCUCUUCUGGAGGAGCUCGGGGCUCCGCUUGCCGCGGGGCUGAUCGUUUCGCUCUGCAUGCACGCGUGAAGCCGGGAGCGCGCCCGCCUCCGUGUCAGGGCUGCACAUCGCCUGGGCGCUUCGAGUCACGGCGUCGGAGGAGGAGGAUGGCCGGAUGCUGAGACCAAGCGCUCCUGCAGCUGGAGGGCUUCGGCGUGGCCGUUCCUGCAGGUUGGCUUUUCUGUUACCUUAUACGCAGAGUCGGCACACCCCAAGCGCGGCUGGCUGCCUUCCUGGGAGUGCGUGUGCCUCCUUGCUGCUCAGGGCUUUUUGUUUUGUUUAUUUACUUCGGCUCUCGCUUUGGCUUCAGCCUCUCGCUGUGUUGGAGAGAAGAAAGAGCCAGGCUGGGGGGGAAGGAGGCUAGCCAGAAGCCCCGACCCCCCGCUCCGCGCCGAUCCCGCCCGCAUUUUGCACGCUUCCUUUCUUUUUUCCUCCUUUUUUUGUUUCCCC
Molecule: long non-coding RNA, 8194 nt
Organism: Meleagris gallopavo (turkey)
Lineage: Eukaryota; Metazoa; Chordata; Aves; Galliformes; Phasianidae
Source: RefSeq, a predicted model, not a curated record